GGCUUGUAGGUGUAGGGGUAUGAUUCUUGCUUCGGGUGUGAGAAGUCCCAGGUUCAAAUCUCGGGAGAGCCC
Molecule: non-coding RNA, 72 nt
Organism: Danionella cerebrum
Lineage: Eukaryota; Metazoa; Chordata; Actinopteri; Cypriniformes; Danionidae
Source: the annotation of a GenBank genome assembly